ACACACACGGCCACUUCCUUCUACAUUCAUUGGAAAAGAGAGAAAGGAGUGAGUUAAUAUUGGUUGUGUUGCCUGCAGCUGCAGCAAAAGCCCUUUUAUUAUAAAAGUGUUUAACUGUGAUGUUUUUGUUUGUAAUGCAACACAAAACCAAACUCAAGCAUUGACAUAAAAAUAGCCUAUUUCUGUGUGUGUGUGUGUGUGGAUUAUUGUACUGACUCAAAGUCUCUUUUCAUUUAUUCGUGUCCUUGGAUUUUUUAUAAUGAUUUAAAACCUUUACGUGCUAUAAAAUGUAAAUGAUGGGUGUGUAAAUGCAUCUAUUCCUGUAAUGUAGGUAUUAGAAUGUCUCCGAUGUGGAAUUUAUGAACUUCCACUCUGCAUGUGCCCCCAUUCUCCUCUACCUCAGGCUUUGUCUUUUUUUAACUUCCUUCUCAUUUCAGUAUCUCCCUGCAGCUUCAGCAUCAGUGAGAUUUAUAUAUUUUAUUUUUUGUGUCCAGCUUCACAAGUCCCACAUUGAUUGCGCUUGCAGAUUAGAAUUGAUUCUGUUCCCAGGAAGUUGAGCACGUUUUCAGUGUCCGUUCUUCAAAUGAUGGCCGUUGAGCACCAGGAUAUUAGAAGAGUUAUAAGAGCUAAUUUAUGUUUAUUUAUUGUGUUUUCCCAGAGACUAAGACGUCUCCCAUACCAUCGUCCAACGCACCACAGAAGGCUGGACCUCCAGUGGGCAGAGCUGCCAGGCUCCUCACCUUCUUCUACCCUUUGCUGUUAGGAAUGCUGCUGCUGGUCAUGUGAUUUAAACAUCUUUAAAGGUCCUGGAAGAAGAAUGAGAAGUAGGAAAAAGGAGGAAGAGGAGGCGACGGCUGGUCUUUUUUCUAUUUUGCACAUGUUUCGAGGAUACAGUGCACCAAUCAUAUCUGUCCAUCACACAGUUACUCACCGAGAUUACUUAGACACACACACACACACACACACACAAACACACAAAAACCCAGACAAUUAUAAAGUGACUCAGCAUUUUUUAUUUUUUUUUUUGGAUUAAAUGGUGACAAAGAAGAUCUUCAGAGGAACUUCUGACCGCGGCAUCAUCCUCAUCAACGACAACAGCAGCAGGAGCAGCAGCAACAACAAUACCAAUAGUCUUAUAUCACCCCCUGGUGGCUGUGACGAGUCACAGCAGACUGGAAGACAGUGGUUUGGGAAUCUUUUAACAUCAGAGCAAGAAAAUCAACUCCUGAGACGAGGGAAAAACUUUUUUUUAUUGCUCAAUUGAUGCGUCUUAAUUCAAAGUGUCCUCUUACAUGUAACCACACACACACACACUCACGUAAAGUGUGUGUGUGUGUGUGUGUGUGUCGCUACAAUAGCAGCCCCCCCCCAUACAGCUAAAUCACCAUGCCAAAGACUCAACUUCAGACAAAAUGGUUCCCAAACGAUUCAUUGAGCUUCCUGAAGCCUGUGCCUGCCUUUCGUUAUGGGUCGGAAAAUUGUGUGUAUGUGUGCGUGCGUGCGUGCGUGCGCGCGUGCGUGUGUGUGUGUGUGCAUGCACAACACCAUUAUUGGUACUGGAAUCAAACCCGGGACGGAACGUGAGGAAAACCCCGUGCAGCUCCUGUUUGACCAUUCACACGAACACAAAAACGCCCUCUCAAUCAGACUCUGAAUCUGUUUCGCCUCCAGUGACUGAGCGGGAAAAAAACCACGCAGCGAGUCGCUUUUUCUCCCGACACAAGGACUAACACUUUUGAAAGUUUUGGUAACAGUAUAGUCUUAUGGCUUAUGUAGACGGUUAGCUUUACAUUGUGCUUUCAGCGACUGGACGACAAGGACCUGGAUUGUAAAAAAAGAAAGAAAGAGAAUAGAAUUAAGUGGAUUUUGAGACUGAAUAAUUCUUUCGGCCACUUUGUAUUUUAUUUUUUCUUUGACUCUGUAACGGCAAAGUUGCUAUUUGAAAACAUCGAUAUGAGCUUUGUUGGUUUUUUCCAUUCUGCUCUGUGCUGUAAAAUACAAUAACACACUCACACACACACACACACACACACUGUUUGCUUUCCCCAAAAUUCUGACGCCUUUACAAAAAUAAAAUAAUCUCUUUUGCAGUUUACAUUUCAGUAGCCAAUAUCACCAGUUAAUAUUAUGUUAUUCAAAAGGAAUAUUGAUGUGUUUAAUUGUAUUUUUUAUUUUUAUGGACAAAUAAUAAAUACACAUAUAGGACUUUAGUUUUUUUUUUUCCUUUUCUUUUUUCCAGACAUUCAUAACGGCUUAAUUCUCCUUGAUCCUAUUUUGUAAACUAUGAUAUGUAACUUUAACAUUGAACAAAAAAGUUUAUUAUUUAAUAAUAAUAAUGAUAAUAUUAAUGAUGAUGAUAAUAAUAAUAAUAAUAAUAAUGUAUGUAUUAGCGGUAGAAUGUCGUAACCUGUACCUGGGGUCUUUUUUAUAGAUGUAUAUACAAUGACAGGUUUCAACCAUUAAAUGUGACCAUUUCACAAUGAA
This is a long non-coding RNA of Solea senegalensis (Senegalese sole), 2484 nucleotides long. RefSeq lists it as uncharacterized. The transcript has 2 exons. NCBI's taxonomy places the organism in Eukaryota, Metazoa, Chordata, Actinopteri, Pleuronectiformes, Soleidae. The record is from RefSeq and is a predicted model, not a curated record.